AACAAAACGCUGGCGGCGUGCCUAACACAUGCAAGUCGUACGAGAAAGUCGGCUUCGGCCGAUGAGUACAGUGGCGCACGGGUGAGUAGCGCGUGGGUAAUCUGCCCCCCGGUCAGGAAUAACCCGCCGAAAGGCGGGCUAAUACCCGAUAACACUGACGCUCCGCGGAGCGUCUUUCAAAGGAGGCCUCUGUUUACAAGCUUUCGCCGGAGGAUGAGCCCGCGUACCAUUAGCUAGUUGGCAGGGGUAAUGGCCUACCAAGGCUGCGAUGGUUAGCUGGUCUGAGAGGAUGGUCCCCCAACUGGUACUGAGACACGGACCAGACUCCUACGGGAGGCAGCAGUGAGGAAUAUUGGUCAAUGGGCGAAGCCUGAACCAGCCAUGCCGCGUGCGGGAUGAAGGCCCUACGGGUUGUAAACCGCUUUUCCCCGGGAAGAACUAACCCGAUGAGUCGGGGAUGCCGGUACGGGGAUAAGGAUCGGCUAACUCCGUGCCAGCAGCCGCGGUAAGCUAGUCUACG
This 520-nucleotide ribosomal RNA is filed under the name uncultured bacterium. Its description in RNAcentral is "bacterial SSU rRNA". It matches the Rfam family "Bacterial small subunit ribosomal RNA", at positions 32 to 536 of the family's 1533-position model. The record is from RNAcentral.